GGCUUUAUAUUCAAUUAUGAUCUUAAAUUGCAAGUUUAAAGGAGUGGUUAUACCGCUAAGGCUU
Molecule: transfer RNA, 64 nt
Filed under: Ramulus hainanensis
Lineage: Eukaryota; Metazoa; Arthropoda; Insecta; Phasmatodea; Phasmatidae
Description: Ramulus hainanense tRNA-Cys
Source: RNAcentral